RNAcentral lists this ribosomal RNA (582 nucleotides) under Enterobacter asburiae. Its description in RNAcentral is "partial 23S ribosomal RNA". It matches the Rfam family "Bacterial large subunit ribosomal RNA", at positions 609 to 1192 of the family's 2925-position model. The record is from RNAcentral. Lineage: Bacteria; Pseudomonadati; Pseudomonadota; Gammaproteobacteria; Enterobacterales; Enterobacteriaceae.
UGUAUAAUGGGUCAGCGACUUAUAUUCUGUAGCAAGGUUAACCGUAUAGGGGAGCCGAAGGGAAACCGAGUCUUAACUGGGCGUUAAGUUGCAGGGUAUAGACCCGAAACCCGGUGAUCUAGCCAUGGGCAGGUUGAAGGUUGGGUAACACUAACUGGAGGACCGAACCGACUAAUGUUGAAAAAUUAGCGGAUGACUUGUGGCUGGGGGUGAAAGGCCAAUCAAACCGGGAGAUAGCUGGUUCUCCCCGAAAGCUAUUUAGGUAGCGCCUCGUGAACUCAUCUUCGGGGGUAGAGCACUGUUUCGGCUAGGGGGCCAUCCCGGCUUACCAACCCGAUGCAAACUACGAAUACCGAAGAAUGUUAUCACGGGAGACACACGGCGGGUGCUAACGUCCGUCGUGAAGAGGGAAACAACCCAGACCGCCAGCUAAGGUCCCAAAGUCAUGGUUAAGUGGGAAACGAUGUGGGAAGGCACAGACAGCCAGGAUGUUGGCUUAGAAGCAGCCAUCAUUUAAAGAAAGCGUAAUAGCUCACUGGUCGAGUCGGCCUGCGCGGAAGAUGUAACGGGGCUAAACCAUGC